AAUGAAUGCUCCUUGCUUUAAAAAUAUGAAAAUUUUGAAAGUUGUAGUGCUUAUAUUACUUGAAUCAACUUCACAAGGAUUUUGAUUAAUGGGUAUCUCUUCCUUCAAGUGGUUGUUGUUUUUGCUCAUUUUGCUUGCUUAUCUCUAUGCCAUGAAGUUGGGUUUGGUGGAUGGAGACGAGAAGUCAACGGUAUUUGGAGAGAGGACAGGAGAUAGGCCGCCAGCACCUCAUGGGAAUCAAGGCAAGCACUAUUUUCCACCAAAUGCUUCAGGGAAAUGUUGAAACCUUUUAAGUGUUAUUUAGAUAUUAGUCCCUGAUAUCUUCGGUAGCUUCGUAUUAGUCAUUCAAAUCCUUUUGCCCAACGCGUCCCCCAAAUUCCAUGGGGUCUUGCGAUUUGGUCCCACAAUCAAAGAACCCCUCGGCUAAAAGCUAAUGCUCUUCUGAACAGAAGUAGUUCUGGGGAGAACCUAAACCGAGGGGUAUUUUGGUCAUUGAGGCACCUAGUCGCUAGGCCCCUCGGGAUUUGAGGGACUCGCGAGCGAUUUCAAAUAUUUGAGAGACUAGUAUGGAAAUUAGUGAAGAUUUGAGGGACUAAUGUCUAAAUGAUCCAAAACCUUAAUUGUGAAAGCUACGAGGAUUUGGGUAAAGGCCCGUUAUGUUGAAUAUUGUGUUGUUUCCUUAUUGUUUGAGAAAAUAUAUUUAAUGUAUAUACAUGGAGUUUAGUACCAUUGUACCAAUACCCAUUACAGAAACACAAGCAAUGUACAGUUUUCUUCUUCCGAAA
Long non-coding RNA from Asparagus officinalis (garden asparagus), 785 nucleotides. RefSeq lists it as uncharacterized. The record is from RefSeq and is a predicted model, not a curated record. The transcript has 2 exons. Lineage: Eukaryota; Viridiplantae; Streptophyta; Magnoliopsida; Asparagales; Asparagaceae.